AAUAAGAUGCCUGAAUUAAAGGGCUAUUUUGAUAGAAUAGAUCAUGUAUUAAUAUACUCUUAUUA
Molecule: transfer RNA, 65 nt
Filed under: Megacopta horvathi
Lineage: Eukaryota; Metazoa; Arthropoda; Insecta; Hemiptera; Plataspidae
Description: tRNA-Ile
Source: RNAcentral